GCAAGUCGAACGGUAACAGGAAGCAGCUUGCUGCUUCGCUGACGAGUGGCGGACGGGUGAGGUAAUGUCUGGGAAACUGCCUGAUGGAGGGGGGAGUAACUACUGGAAACGGUAGCUAAUACCGCAUAACGUCGCAAGACCAAAGAGGGGGACCUUCGGGCCUCUUGCCAUCAGAUGUGCCCAGAUGGGAUUAGCUAGUUGGUGGGGUAACGGCUCACCAAGGCGACGAUCCCUAGCUGGUCUGAGAGGAUGACCAGCCACACUGGAACUGAGACACGGUCCAGACUCCUACGGGAGGCAGCAGUGGGGAAUAUUGCACAAUGGGCGCAAGCCUGAUGCAGCCAUGCCGCGUGUAUGAAGAAGGCCUUCGGGUUGUAAAGUACUUUCAGCGGGGAGGAAGGUGUUGUGGUUAAUAACCGCAGCAAUUGACGUUACCCGCAGAAGAAGCACCGGCUAACUCCGUGCCAGCCGCUGC
This 475-nucleotide ribosomal RNA is filed under the name uncultured bacterium. Its description in RNAcentral is "bacterial SSU rRNA". It matches the Rfam family "Bacterial small subunit ribosomal RNA", at positions 57 to 518 of the family's 1533-position model. The record is from RNAcentral.